Molecule: non-coding RNA, 45 nt
Filed under: Schistosoma curassoni
Lineage: Eukaryota; Metazoa; Platyhelminthes; Trematoda; Strigeidida; Schistosomatidae
Source: RNAcentral
CUUCAGCUGACGAGUCUAAAAUGGGACGAAACGCGCGUUCUGGGU